CAGGGGGGGCAAGCGUUGUUCGGAAUUACUGGGCGUAAAGGGCUCGUAGGCGGCCAACUAAGUCCGACGUGAAAUCCCAAGGCUUAACUUUGGAACUGCGUCGGAUACUGGAUGGCUUGAAUUCGGGAGAGGGAUGCAGAAUUCCAGGUGUAGCGGUGAAAUGCGUAGAUAUCUGGAGGAAUACCGGUGGCGAAGGCGGCAUCCUGGACCGACAUUGACGCUGAGGAGCGAAAGCUAGGGGAGCAAACGGGAUUAGAUACCCCGGUAGUCCUAGCCCUAAACGAUGAAUGCUUGGUGUGGCGGUAUCGAUCCCUGCCGUGCCGAAGCUAACGCAUUAAGCAUUCCGCCUGGGGAGUACGGUCGCAAGGCUG
This 371-nucleotide ribosomal RNA is filed under the name uncultured organism. RNAcentral's name for it is "bacterial SSU rRNA". It matches the Rfam family "Bacterial small subunit ribosomal RNA", at positions 526 to 896 of the family's 1533-position model. The record is from RNAcentral.